This 322-nucleotide ribosomal RNA is filed under the name uncultured eukaryote. RNAcentral's name for it is "partial 18S ribosomal RNA". It matches the Rfam family "Eukaryotic small subunit ribosomal RNA", at positions 1470 to 1796 of the family's 1831-position model. The record is from RNAcentral.
CCCUUAGAUGUUCUGGGCCGCACGCGUGCUACACUGAGUGGAUCAGCGGGUCAGGUUGCGCGAAAGUGUUUCCUAAUCUUGAAAUCCGCUCGUGAUGGGGAUUGACGGUUGCAAUUUUCCGUCAUGAACGAGGAAUACCUUGUAAGCGCGGGUCAUCAUCCCGCGCUGAAUACGUCCCUGCCCUUUGUACACACCGCCCGUUGCUCCUACCGAUUGAGUGGUCCGGUGAGGCUUUGGGAUCUGAGCAAAGAGAGCGUUUCGCUCGUUUUGCCCGGAAAACUCAGUCGAACCUUAUCAUUUAGAGGAAGGAGAAGUCGUAACA